Molecule: ribosomal RNA, 642 nt
Filed under: uncultured bacterium
Lineage: Bacteria
Description: bacterial SSU rRNA
Rfam family: Bacterial small subunit ribosomal RNA
Source: RNAcentral
CAAAGGGAUUACCGGUGGCGGAUGGGCAUGCGGCGCAUUAGCUAGUCGGCGGGGUAACGGCCCACCGAGGCGACGAUGCGUAGGGGUUCUGAGAGGAAGGUCCCCCACACUGGUACUGAGACACGGACCAGACUCCUACGGGAGGCAGCAGUGAGGAAUAUUGGUCAAUGGGCGCGAGCCUGAACCAGCCAAGUCGCGUGAGGGAUGACGGUCCUACGGAUUGUAAACCUCUUUUGCCGGGGAGCAAGCGUGCGUUCGUGAGCGCGCGUCGAGAGUACCCGGAGAAAAAGCAUCGGCUAACUCCGUGCCAGCAGCCGCGGUAAUACGGAGGAUGCGAGCGUUAUCCGGAUUUAUUGGGUUUAAAGGGUGCGUAGGCGGGAUGCCAAGUCAGCGGUAAAAAUGCGGUGCUCAACGCCGUCGAGCCGUUGAAACUGGCGUUCUUGAGUGGGCGAGAAGUAUGCGGAAUGCGUGGUGUAGCGGUGAAAUGCAUAGAUAUCACGCAGAACUCCGAUUGCGAAGGCAGCAUACCGGCGCCCUACUGACGCUGAGGCACGAAAGCGUGGGUAUCGAACAGGAUUAGAUACCCUGGUAGUCCACGCAGUAAACGAUGAAUGCUAACUGUCCGGCUCGAAUGAGCGCUGG